GAUGAACGCUGGCGGCGUGCCUAAUACAUGCAAGUCGAGCGAACGGACGAGAAGCUUGCUUUUCUGAUGUUAGCGGCGGACGGGUGAGUAACACGUGGAUAACCUACCUAUAAGACUGGGAUAACUUCGGGAAACCGGAGCUAAUACCGGAUAAUAUUUUGAACCGCAUGGUUCAAAAGUGAAAGACGGUCUUGCUGUCACUUAUAGAUGGAUCCGCGCUGCAUUAGCUAGUUGGUAAGGUAACGGCUUACCAAGGCAACGAUGCAUAGCCGACCUGAGAGGGUGAUCGGCCACACUGGAACUGAGACACGGUCCAGACGCCUACGGGAGGCAGCAGUAGGGAAUCUUCCGCAAUGGGCGAAAGCCUGACGGAGCAACGCCGCGUGAGUGAUGAAGGUCUUCGGAUCGUAAAACUCUGUUAUUAGGGAAGAACAUAUGUGUAAGUAACUGUGCACAUCUUGACGGUACCUAAUCAGAAAGCCACGGUUAACUACGUG
RNAcentral lists this ribosomal RNA (497 nucleotides) under uncultured bacterium. Its description in RNAcentral is "partial 16S ribosomal RNA". It matches the Rfam family "Bacterial small subunit ribosomal RNA", at positions 28 to 507 of the family's 1533-position model. The record is from RNAcentral.